Molecule: transfer RNA, 72 nt
Filed under: Myxococcota bacterium
Lineage: Bacteria; Pseudomonadati; Myxococcota
Description: tRNA-Val
Rfam family: tRNA
About the family: Transfer RNA (tRNA) molecules are approximately 80 nucleotides in length. Their secondary structure includes four short double-helical elements and three loops (D, anti-codon, and T loops). Further hydrogen bonds mediate the characteristic L-shaped molecular structure. tRNAs have two regions of fundamental functional importance: the anti-codon, which is responsible for specific mRNA codon recognition, and the 3' end, to which the tRNAs corresponding amino acid is attached (by aminoacyl-tRNA synthetases). tRNAs cope with the degeneracy of the genetic code in two manners: having more than one tRNA (with a specific anti-codon) for a particular amino acid; and 'wobble' base-pairing, i.e. permitting non-standard base-pairing at the 3rd anti-codon position.
Source: RNAcentral
AGGCGCGUAGCUCAGUGGUAGAGCACUACCUUGACACGGUAGGGGUCGGCGGUUCGAAACCGCCCGUGCCUA